CGCUGGCGGCGUGCUUAACACAUGCAAGUCGAGCGGAAAGGCCCUUCGGGGUACUCGAGCGGCGAACGGGUGAGUAACACGUGAGCAACCUGCCCUAGGCUUUGGGAUAACCCUCGGAAACGGGGGCUAAUACCGAAUAUUCACUUGCGGGCGCAUGUUUGUGGGUGGAAAGUUUUUCGGCUUGGGAUGGGCUCGCGGCCUAUCAGCUUGUUGGUGGGGUAAUGGCCUACCAAGGCGACGACGGGUAGCCGGCCUGAGAGGGCGACCGGCCACACUGGGACUGAGACACGGCCCAGACUCCUACGGGAGGCAGCAGUGGGGAAUAUUGCACAAUGGGCGGAAGCCUGAUGCAGCGACGCCGCGUGAGGGAUGACGGCCUUCGGGUUGUAAACCUCUUUCAGCAGGGACGAAGCGCAAGUGACGGUACCUGCAGAAGAAGCGCCGGCCAACUACGUGCCAGCAGCCGCGGUAAGACGUAGGGCGCGAGCGUUGUCCGGAUUUAUUGGGCGUAAAGAGCUCGUAGGCGGCUUGUCGCGUCGACUGUGAAAACCCGUGGCUCAACUGCGGGCCUGCAGUCGAUACGGGCAGGCUAGAGUUCGGUAGGGGAGACUGGAAUUCCUGGUGUAGCGGUGAAAUGCGCAGAUAUCAGGAGGAACACCGGUGGCGAAGGCGGGUCUCUGGGCCGAUACUGACGCUGAGGAGCGAAAGCGUGGGGAGCGAACAGGAUUAGAUACCCUGGUAGUCCACGCUGUAAACGUUGGGCGCUAGGUGUGGGGGGCCUCUCCGGUUCUCUGUGCCGCAGCUAACGCAUUAAGCGCCCCGCC
RNAcentral lists this ribosomal RNA (824 nucleotides) under Verrucosispora sp. RNAcentral's name for it is "bacterial SSU rRNA". It matches the Rfam family "Bacterial small subunit ribosomal RNA", at positions 34 to 873 of the family's 1533-position model. The record is from RNAcentral. Lineage: Bacteria; Bacillati; Actinomycetota; Actinomycetes; Micromonosporales; Micromonosporaceae.